RNAcentral lists this unclassified non-coding RNA (479 nucleotides) under Anneissia japonica. Its description in RNAcentral is "tripartite motif-containing protein 2-like, transcript variant X1". The record is from RNAcentral. Lineage: Eukaryota; Metazoa; Echinodermata; Crinoidea; Comatulida; Comatulidae.
AUUGUAAGCACUUAAACACAGGAAUUUAAAGAACACAAGGGGUGGAGAAGGAAGCACAAACCAAUCAGCAUAUCAGAUGCAUUCCAAACAUUUAAAGAAACUUCUGUAAUAUUGGAGGAAGCUGCCCAUGACUACAAAAACAAGAUACAAGAAGGCCUUAAAGCAGUUAUUCAAACUGCUACAAUGUUAAAAGCAAGUAUAGAGAUACAAGUUUGCAAGAUAUUGACAGUACUGUACAGGAAAUUAUUAAAACAAUCAUGAAUAAAGGAAAUGAAAUGAAAUAUUAUGUAGAGAUAAUCUACAAAAGGAAAAAGCAAGCAAAUGAUGUACAAAUGGACGAAUUGAAAACAAUUAUAUCUGAAGUAAACACAAAAUUGAGUUUUCUUAAGCAAUUAUUAAAGAGUGACACAAUGUCAAGUAAUUGAAUUGCCAAAAUAAUUAAAGCAGAUAGAUGUAUUAUUGAUAAAAAAAAAAACCAA